GUGCUCGCUUUGGCAGCACAUAUACUAAAAUUGAAAUGAUAGAAGAUUAGCAUGGGCCUUAUGUAAGAAUGACACCCAAAUUUGUAAAGCAUUCCAUAUUUUU
Heterocephalus glaber (naked mole-rat) is the source of this 103-nucleotide small nuclear RNA. The record is from Ensembl. Lineage: Eukaryota; Metazoa; Chordata; Mammalia; Rodentia; Bathyergidae.